Non-coding RNA from Lates calcarifer (barramundi perch), 1123 nucleotides. The record is from the annotation of a RefSeq genome assembly. Lineage: Eukaryota; Metazoa; Chordata; Actinopteri; Centropomidae.
CCCAGCCGUUAAGAGGCCAGUGUUGAUCAGUGGCUGUCCAGGCCUUUCAGAGCCACUGACACACCAGCAGCACAAUCAUCAUGUCUCUGACUCUACUGCUGGCCACCCUGGGGCUCCUUGUUCAGGGUUCAUCAGGAGAAAUCAUCCUGACUCAGUCUCCUGGAUCUCAGUCUGUUGUUCUGGGACAGACUGUCUCUAUCAGAUGUAAAGCCAGUUCAAGUGUUAGUAGCUACCUCAACUGGUACCUUCAGAAACCUGGAGAAGCUCCUAAACUCCUGAUUAGAUAUGCUACAACCCGUCACUCUGGAGUUUCAGAUCGUUUUAGUGGAAGUGGAUCUGACCCUGACUUCACUCUGACCAUCAGCAGAGUUCAGGCUGAAGAUGCAGGAGUUUACUACUGUCAGCAGAGUUACAGCGGGUUCACACAGUGAUACAACGUCGUACAAAAACCUCCCUCAGCUGCAGAGGAACUGAUCUGACUCAACAGCUGCACUGACACUAAGACACUGGAAGCACAAAACACAAAAAUGUAGAUAAUAUGUUCCACAGUGAACAUUUUAAAACAAAAUAUACAGUUUUUAAUGUAAAAACUUAUAUUCAAUUUUUUAAAUCUUAAACCAUUUCUAUAUGAACUCAAAAAUAUUUCUUUAUUAAAAUGCAAAAUUUUACUUGAAUAAAAUCUAACUUUACUUAGUGUAAAAUAACUCAUUAUUCCACUGUGAGAUAUUGUGUGCUUUUGAUUCCAAUGAAAAAAAAAAAUUUCAUGAUUAAGAUACAAUUCAGUCUUAUUAUUUCUUUCCUUUUUUCAUCUUGUUCAUUUGUCUUUGUGGUUGAACUCUCUGGAAGAAUUCGUAUGUAAAUUUUUGCAUGAUUAGAAUUACAGCUCACACUUUAUUUAGUUACAUGUUGCUUUUUAUUUCAAAUUUAAAAAAUCAUUUUGAGACUUUUGUUGUGUUAUUUAAUGCAUGUUUCAUGCUUUUUGGUUCCUCCUAAAGGAACAACAAUGUCAGAGUUCUUGUCAUUGACACACUUCAGUAAUAAAAGAUAACUGGAUGAUUCUUCAUUGAAAUGUUUCUACCAUGGGUUUUGUUGCAAAGGGUUAUCAUUACAAAAAAUCUGCAAU